This 1447-nucleotide long non-coding RNA is filed under the name Cottoperca gobio. RNAcentral describes it as "lncRNA (ENSCGOG00000024765.1)". The record is from RNAcentral. Lineage: Eukaryota; Metazoa; Chordata; Actinopteri; Perciformes; Bovichtidae.
AUGCAUCACCCCCUCUCUCUCUCACACACACACACACACACACACUUGCUCUCACAUGGUUCAAAAACUAUCCUAGAUCACACAAGUCAGUCUCUUACCAUUGUUCUGGCAGCACAAACUUUAACUUCUGCUCACAACUUGGGAAACCAGCAAUGCUGCGAGCGGUCUGCUAGCUUCCUGUCACACUCAGACAACGCAGACAGUCAUACAAGAUCAAGGCAAUACUUCCUGUCACAUCUCCAUUUUACGUUUGAAUUACAAUUAUGAACAUUUCAGCCAGCAUGGAUUGUAAAUGUAUUAAAAAAUGAAAAAUUGUGUCAGAAUAACAUUUUAGUAUUCUAAAAAGUAUUUUAUGUUCAAAUUGAGCAGCUUCCCAAAUAUAUUAAUGCCUUGGAUUGAUUUUUAAAGCAUAAUUAUUGGCAAUCCUCGAUAAUUUUGAAUGAGCUAAACCUGAAAAGCCACUGCAAAAUUAAACUGAAUGGAUAACAUUUUAUGUUAAGCCAUCUAAAGGUUUAGCUAGAAACACCAUGCAUUGUUAUUUAGUUUUCUAAUUUUCUUUUUUCUAGAUCCUGAAUAUAAAUUUAUGAGUGGAUCUUCUUCCAAUGAAAAAUUAACAACUGCUUUAAAGUACAAGGAGUUUGACUGCAAGAUUCUGCCUGUGACACCAAGCCAAAGGGACUUUUCUACUCAACAGGGAAAGGAAAAGGAAAAGGAGGUAAAAUAUAUUUCAAAAUAUAUUCUGUCUCAGUUUUGUAGGAUUUACAGCUUGAUAACUUUGAGAGGAUAUCUAGUGCUCUUGGAAAGGAAUAGUAUUUAGACAUGGUUUAAACGGCCCACAUACUAUUUAGCGUCAACCUGUUGUUGCCUCCGAAAAAAUGACAUUUAUUUGCUGGCAUCAUCUAGUCUCCCUUGCACACAAGGUAUUGUUUUAUAUGACAAACCACACCCAUGUGGCGCCGAAGUAGGUGUAUAGGUUAGAAUUUCUUUCAAAUAAAAAAUAAUCCCAAUCAGAAGAGCUACUAAAUUAAUCGUAAAAUUAACCUCUUAGGAAUUACAUUUAUUCACUUUUUUUCUAAAUGAGAAACUUCAUAACACUCUGUAGGCCUACAGUAAAUAUGAAGCUACAGCCAGCUAGCUUAAUCUUAGCAUAAAGACUGGAAACGAGGAAACGUAACAAAGCCUGGCCUGUGUACAAAAAUCAAAGUGUAAAAACACGCUUAGCGGUUUUACAGGGGGUUAUGUGCUGGAAUAUUUAUUUGAGCCUGGAGACUUUGGACAGAGCCAGGCUAGCUAUUUAUGUAAGCUAAGCUAACUAGCUGCUUCACCUAUUAACCGCACAGACAAGUUAAUGGCAGGAAAGCAAAUAUGUGUAUGUCCCAAAAUGUCUAACUAUUUAUUCUGACCCAAGAGACAGUGCCACUGAAUACAAACACAUUCAGAGAAAUCA